UGCCUGGUGUUUGGGUUUGUGCAUGCU
This 27-nucleotide non-coding RNA is filed under the name Mus musculus (house mouse). The record is from RNAcentral. Lineage: Eukaryota; Metazoa; Chordata; Mammalia; Rodentia; Muridae.